GUGUAACUGUGGUGUUGGCUCGGCUCACUCAGAAGCUGAAAUAGUAGUGAUGAAUCUAAAUGGUAGCUAUGGCGUUUCUGAUUGAGCCGUGCCAAUAUCUUAGUACUCUUU
Sorghum bicolor (sorghum) is the source of this 111-nucleotide microRNA precursor. NCBI's taxonomy places the organism in Eukaryota, Viridiplantae, Streptophyta, Magnoliopsida, Poales, Poaceae. The record is from Rfam.